UACUUUGGAUGUUAGGACUAGGGUAGGCUUUGGCCUCAUUUUCCCCUCUGGGCUCCCCAUGACUUUGAGGGGUAUCUUUCUUACUGUUGCUUCCUGGCUUGAUCCAAAUGCCAAUGUAGGCUUACUUUGGCUUUCUGCUGUUUCUCUGAGGCUCUUAAUGAGUCCACUUUGCUGUUUGCCAGCCGGUUCACUUUGUCAUCUCCUCUCUGCCAGUGUUGAUGCCUUUAACAAGGCAGAGUGAGAUGUGAUUCUCCAAGAGACCCUUCCAGUCAUUUACUUCUGAAUCCCCUUAAGGGAGUGUUGGAGGUGCAGGGUUUCACUGGGAAAAGCAAUAUGCCACUAGACUGGAUGCUGCUGCUUUAAACUGGCAUUGAUUCCAGUUCCUUUGAUUUGGAGAAUGACACCCCACCCCCACCUCAUCCCACCUUCCUCUUCACAACUUCAGAAACCUGGAGUUCUGCCAAAGCCAGAGAUGGAAAUGGGUCUGUGAUGGACAGGACCGAGGUUAGUGGAACAGUCUGGGCUGCCUCCUGAUGACCACUCCAGCUUAAAAACUCUUGGACUAGACUUGCUUUCACACGAACCUUGUUAGAUUUAUCAUCUGCUGAUUCCUUUAACGAUCUGGCCUGGGCUUGCAGGCGCCAUCUUGGGGUGUUGUCCGCCCGCUCAAUCCUACAAUGAAAGGGACCUUCACCCGCUCCUUUCGAGCCCUGCCUUGCCCCCAGCGCAGUCGGUGACCGGGGGCCAGCCUCCCAGCCACGCGCCUCCUCCUUACCUGGCUCCUUCGGCGUAGUCUUCGCCGCGGCGGGCCGUCCAGGGCGUUGGCGGGUGAAGUUGGGGCCACCGCGCGGCGGGGGCUCCGCACACGGAGGACGGCCCACGGAUCGGCGAUAUCGGCCUAGGCGGGCAUUCAGGAUUAGGCUUAAGGAUCGCCCAAAGCGGCUGGCACCAGAUGCAGAUGUGCUACCCGUCCGCCGGCUCCCUAACAAUCAACAAACCAAAUGGUUUUUGCUCUUUGCCAAAACAGAGAUUCGAACCAGCACCAGCAAAAGGAUCUAGGAGAAAAGCAAUUUAGCCACAGCUCAAGCUGGCAAAGUGCUCCCAACCUAGGCGAAUGGGAAAAGAUCGUGGAGUCAAGAUAUAGGACAGAUAUUUAUCUUGUCUACUACAAAAACACUCCCAAAUUCAUAAGCGUGCAUUGACUGAGACGUGACGUGGGAAACAGUAACUCAUAAUUUCUAUUAUGCCUCCCUGGAAGGCUAAGACAUAAAACAAGAAAAGAAGAAAAACUGUGAGAUCGCUGAACUGCCAUCUUUCCUUCCCACAUCUCCUGGCAGCUGGUUAUCGGAGCCUCUCCUCCUGUCACCUGGACACAAAAUACCUGGAGACCUACAUCUAUGAACUGCAGGUGGAGUUCUCACGGGAAGGUUGGGAAAAACGACUCUUGGCAUGGACUGAGUGUAUUGCUGUACGGAGAAUGAUCUCAGUGGGCGGCUGGCGACCUGUCCUUGGGAAAGAAGUCAGACUGCCGCCUUCAUGGACAGAGUAUCUUCUUCACAAGAGAGACCCCCCCCCCACGUACCUGCAAAUGAGAACAUGGAACCCCUCAGACCUUGGGUGGUCAACUGGAAGGAGUUUUCUUUUCUGAGAGGGGAGAUAUUCUCUGAAAUUCUCAGAUGGCAUACCUGUGCAGCUUGCUAGACGUAUGGCCACGUUAAUGAUGACUGCAUGUCCAUUCUACAGUUGGCCAAGACGAAGAAUUCGAAGAAAUGGAAAGAGGGUGCAUGGUCGAUUAUGCCUGCUCUCGUCAUGUCUGAGAGAUCUUGGACGACAGCCUAUAAAAUCCAAGUAACCCUUGAUCUGUUCAUUUGCAUUGUGGAAUUAAACAUAGGACCAAAGAGUUGUUGGCAGCAGACCACUGAAUCCUUGGAUGAGAAUGAUUAGAUAAUUAACGGAUAAAUAUUUUGCCACACAGAUGCUUAUUUCCUUAUGCAACAGCACAAACCGACUGUAUACCCUAAAGUUUUUUACUUGUCCCACCUGCUAGUCACAUAAUGUUGAGAAAUAGCAGCCUCCUUUACAGCUUUGUGUAUGAGAAACUGUCCAAAUGUUUGAAGACAAUGCCAUUGUGUGUCCACGGUUUUUGUUCUUAGGCCGUGGAAGAGAAAGAGUGAGCCAUGAAGCUUGCUGGACAAAGACCUCACCAGAUGCCCCAGGCCCUGACCUUCAACCUUAGCUCCCCAGGUAAAAGGAAAGCAGAAGGGCAGAGCGCUUGUCUUGGGACCUUCCUUCCUGCCCAGAAAUAAGACCAAAAAUGAUGUCUUCCCCGUAAGCUCAGAGAUAUCUUUGAUAAUGAUGUCCUUUAUUUUAGUUUUUCCCCAGUUACACAUUAAGAAAAUUUUUAGCAUUCAUUUUUACAAGAUUUUGAGUUCCAG
This is a long non-coding RNA of Vombatus ursinus (common wombat), 2435 nucleotides long. RefSeq lists it as uncharacterized. The transcript is spliced from 10 exons. NCBI's taxonomy places the organism in Eukaryota, Metazoa, Chordata, Mammalia, Diprotodontia, Vombatidae. The record is from RefSeq and is a predicted model, not a curated record.